RNAcentral lists this ribosomal RNA (488 nucleotides) under uncultured bacterium. Its description in RNAcentral is "partial 16S ribosomal RNA". It matches the Rfam family "Bacterial small subunit ribosomal RNA", at positions 28 to 507 of the family's 1533-position model. The record is from RNAcentral.
GACGAACGCUGGCGGCGUGCUUAACACAUGCAAGUCGAACGCGCCUGUCCUCUGGGUUUCUGGGGGGUGGGUGAGUGGCGAACGGGUGAGUAACACGUGAGUAACCUGCCCCCUUCUUCGGGAUAACGGUCUGAAAGGGCUGCUAAUACCGGGUAUUCACUGGUCUCCGCAUGGGGUCUGGUGGAAAGGUUUUUUUCUGGUGGGGGAUGGGCUCGCGGCCUAUCAGCUUGUUGGUGGGGUGAUGGCCCACCAAGGCUUUGACGGGUAGCCGGCCUGAGAGGGUGACCGGUCACAUUGGGACUGAGAUACGGCCCAGACUCCUACGGGAGGCAGCAGUGGGGAAUAUUGCACAAUGGGCGCAAGCCUGAUGCAGCGACGCCGCGUGAGGGAUGGAGGCCUUCGGGUUGUGAACCUCUUUCGCCCGUGGUCAAGCCGCGACGUGGGACGUGGUGAGGGUAGUGGGUAAAGAAGCGCCGGCUAACUACGUG